CCCAGAUCUUUUUUGCCUUUAUCUCUUUCUCGCUUUAUACAAACACAGAUUAUACAAUUGAUCUUCUGUAUAUGUAUCCAAAACAGAAACAGAUUAUAUACAACUGUUUUUUUUGUAUAUGCAUAGCGAAAUAAACAUAUUUAUGUUUGCUAUGGAACGCAAUUAUGCAAACUAUAGCUAUAACAUACAAAUAUGAUUUUUGUGUUCGAUAUAUGUGACAGUUGCUGAAAUUUUUAAGCAAUAUAAAUUAAUAUGAUAAAAAAUAAUAGGAAAACCUAUAUAUAAUAGCAAAUUAUUAAUUCAAAUUAAAUGCUAUAAAUAUAGCUUGAUUUAACUGAACCCCA
This 344-nucleotide long non-coding RNA is filed under the name Solanum tuberosum (potato). RNAcentral describes it as "long non-coding RNA (STUB_LNC001938)". The record is from RNAcentral. Lineage: Eukaryota; Viridiplantae; Streptophyta; Magnoliopsida; Solanales; Solanaceae.